GCCACGGUUCGCCUGCCAAUCUCCGGCAGACCCUCCCUCCCAGACCCUCCUACUUCAUGGACAGCAUCCAUGUUGAAGGCAGCUUCAACAUGGAUGCUGUCCAGGAGGUGGGAGGGUCUGGGAGGGAGGGUCUGCCGGUGAUUGGCCGGGAUGUGUCAG
Non-coding RNA from Pelobates cultripes (western spadefoot toad), 159 nucleotides. NCBI's taxonomy places the organism in Eukaryota, Metazoa, Chordata, Amphibia, Anura, Pelobatidae. The record is from the annotation of a GenBank genome assembly.